This 339-nucleotide unclassified non-coding RNA is filed under the name plant metagenome. RNAcentral's name for it is "partial contains 5.8S ribosomal RNA, internal transcribed spacer 2, and large subunit ribosomal RNA". The stretch from base 1 to 105 matches the Rfam family "5.8S ribosomal RNA", at positions 50 to 154 of the family's 154-position model. The record is from RNAcentral.
GAAGUGCGAUAAGUAAUGUGACUUGCAGAAUACCGUGAAUCAUCGAAUCUUUGAACGCAUAUUACACUCUCAGGUAUUCCGGAGAGUAUGCCUGUUUGAGGGUCAGCUAAAAAAAAUCAAGCGUUAUUGCUUUUUUGUGAUGACGUUUGGAAUUGAGUCGUCUUAACCUCACGGUCAAGUGACUUAAAAUUUUUUAAUGUGAUUUUCGAAACGUAUUUAAUAUUUUACGUACGUUUGCGAUAUCAAUCUAUUAGAUGUGGUCAUUUUCCAUGAUUCUCGCGUCUAUAGUUUUUCAUUAAAUGACCUCAAAUCAGGUAAGAGUACCCGCUGAACUUAAGC